Molecule: microRNA precursor, 110 nt
Filed under: Gossypium hirsutum (cotton)
Lineage: Eukaryota; Viridiplantae; Streptophyta; Magnoliopsida; Malvales; Malvaceae
Description: MIR7502 microRNA precursor family
Rfam family: MIR7502 microRNA precursor family
Source: Rfam by way of RNAcentral
UGUGAAAAUUUAUAUCCAUUUAUACUAUUAAAAACUAUUCAAUUACGUGUACCUCAUGCUAACGUACAGUGACCAAUUUUUAACCGUAGAAAUGGAUGCAAAUUUUAAUA